This 303-nucleotide ribosomal RNA is filed under the name uncultured bacterium. Its description in RNAcentral is "partial 16S ribosomal RNA". It matches the Rfam family "Bacterial small subunit ribosomal RNA", at positions 507 to 809 of the family's 1533-position model. The record is from RNAcentral.
AGCAGUCGCCGCGGUAAUACGGAGGGGGCUAGCGUUGUUCGGAAUUACUGGGCGUAAAGCGCACGUAGGCGGCUUGGUAAGUUAGAGGUGAAAGCCCGGAGCUCAACUCCGGAAUUGCCUUUAAGACUGCCGAGCUAGCAGGUGAGAGAGGUAAGUGGAAUUCCGAGUGUAGAGGUGAAAUUCGUAGAUAUUCGGAAGAACACCAGUGGCGAAGGCGACUGACUGGACAAGUAUUGACGCUGAGGUGCGAAAGCGUGGGGAGCAAACAGGAUUAGAUACCCCCGUAGUCCCUGUCUCUUAUAA